GUUUUUUUAGAAAUAAAUUUAAUUUACAAAUUUUUAAUUUUUUAUUUAUUUAUUUAAUUAAAAAAAUUAUUAAUUUGAAUAUUUUAAGGGAUAAGCUUUAAAAUAAAUUGUUAAAAAUUAAUAGAUUAAAUAUAAAAUGUAUGAAUAGAAUUUUCAAUCAUUUAUGAGUUUGUUAUAAAUUAUUUUAUAACUUGUAUUAUUUAUUAUAAUUUUAAAUUUUUAUAAAAAUUUUUUCAUAAAUUUUUUAUGAAAAUUAAUAAUGAUAAAAUUAGUAUAUUAAUAUUGUAUAUAUAAUUUUAUAUGAUAAGUUUAUGUAAAGAACUCGGCAAAUUUAUAUACUCGCCUGUUUAACAAAAACAUGUCUUUUUGAGUUAUUUUUAAAGUCUGACCUGCCCACUGAAUAAAUUUAAAUGGCCGCAGUAUUUUAACUGUGCAAAGGUAGCAUAAUCAUUAGUUUUUUAAUUGAAGGCUGGUAUGAAUGGUUGGUCGAAGUAUAAACUGUUUCAUGUAAAUUUAUUAUAGAAUUUUAUAUUUUAGUUAAAAAGCUAAAAUUUAAUUAAAAGACGAGAAGACCCUAUAAAUCUUUAUAUUUAUUAUUAUUUUAAUUUUUUGGAUAUAUUUUGUUUUAAUAAUAAUAAUUAUUUUGUUGGGGUGAUGUUAAAAUUUAAUAAACUUUUAAUUAUUAAAAUCAUUAAUUUAUGAUUUAUUGAUCCGUUAAUAGCGAUUAUAAGAUUAAGUUACUUUAGGGAUAACAGCGUAAUUUUUUUGGAGAGUUCUUAUCGAUAAAAAAGUUAGCGACCUCGAUGUUGGAUUAAGAUAUAUUUUUAGGUGUAGCCGCUUAAAUAUU
RNAcentral lists this ribosomal RNA (847 nucleotides) under Rhagoletis juglandis. RNAcentral describes it as "partial 16S ribosomal RNA". Lineage: Eukaryota; Metazoa; Arthropoda; Insecta; Diptera; Tephritidae. The record is from RNAcentral.